GGGUAUAGCUCAGUGGUAGAGUGCAUGCCUAGGGUGCAUGAGGUCCGAGGUUCAAUUCCCAGUACCUCCA
RNAcentral lists this transfer RNA (70 nucleotides) under Camelus bactrianus (Bactrian camel). It matches the Rfam family "tRNA". Rfam says of the family: Transfer RNA (tRNA) molecules are approximately 80 nucleotides in length. Lineage: Eukaryota; Metazoa; Chordata; Mammalia; Artiodactyla; Camelidae. RNAcentral also lists the same sequence under 3 other names. The record is from Rfam by way of RNAcentral.